This is a small nuclear RNA of Talpa occidentalis (Iberian mole), 104 nucleotides long. Lineage: Eukaryota; Metazoa; Chordata; Mammalia; Eulipotyphla; Talpidae. The record is from RefSeq and is a predicted model, not a curated record.
GCACUUGCACCAGCAGCUCACAUACUAAAAUUGAAGUUAUAUAGAGACUAGCAUGGUCUCUACUCAAGGAUGGCAUACACUUUUGUGAAGCUUUCCAUAUAUUU